AGUAUGUCUAUGCCAGGAGCUGGGGUAUGACAGGUGACCCAAGCGGUGUCCGGAGUAAAUGGGAGUAAAGGGUUGGUCUGCUGUGGAGUAAGUCUUACGGCAAAUCACCGAGCUCAACUCGGAAAGGGCGUCGGAUACUUUUCGGCUCGAGGAUUGGAGGGUGGACUGUAAUACUUGGUGUAGCAGUGAAAUGCGUAGAUAUCAAGUGGAACACCAGUGGCGAAGGCGAGUCCCUGUACAAUUCCUGACGCUGAGGCACGAAAGCUAGGGGAGCAAACAGGAUUAGAUACCCGAGUAGUC
This 300-nucleotide ribosomal RNA is filed under the name uncultured Phocaeicola sp. Its description in RNAcentral is "bacterial SSU rRNA". It matches the Rfam family "Bacterial small subunit ribosomal RNA", at positions 496 to 795 of the family's 1533-position model. The record is from RNAcentral. Lineage: Bacteria; Pseudomonadati; Bacteroidota; Bacteroidia; Bacteroidales; Bacteroidaceae.